This 715-nucleotide unclassified non-coding RNA is filed under the name Hevea brasiliensis (rubber tree). The record is from RNAcentral. Lineage: Eukaryota; Viridiplantae; Streptophyta; Magnoliopsida; Malpighiales; Euphorbiaceae.
AAUGAUCUGGUUCUUCUGGGUGAGGCUGGAGAGCAUGUGGCACUCCAAGAUGCAACAUAACAGGACUGUAGAAAAUGACUCAAUAAUGCAGGAGAUUGUGACCAUGCUCAGCUUCGACGGAAGUGAACACGGGUGGGCUCUGAUUAGUAAAGGAUCAGGGGAUCAGGAUCAAAUGACAAAGGCAAAAGGGGCUGAUAUCUUGGAGACCUUUGAUGCCCUUCAGUCAUGGAAGCACAUUGCAGAUGAAAGGGGAUUUGUGACUGCACUUAAUGACAACCUCCGUGGGCGCCAUAAUCCACAUCACUGCAACAGAUUGAUUCUGUCAGGGACUAUAGGAAGCAUCCCUGAAAUGAUAGUGUGCGCUGAUUGCAACCGCCCCAUGGAGAGGUUCAUCAUGUACCGCUGUUGCAAUGAUUAAGCCUAUGUUUAAUUAAUCUAAUGCUGUGUGCUAUGGCGAUAUAUAUGGUUUGAACUGUGAAUGGAUUGGGAUUUAAUAGCUGUUGUAGCCUUUAGUUGCUUGUUUACUUCUGCUGUUGUAUAAUUAAGAUGUUGAGCAAGCAGGGGGAAAACUGCUAUGUCUUUGCAUUUGUGUUCUUUCCGUUCAAGUAUUUUCAAUUAAGCGAAAUUAUUAAUUAGUUUUCCUUUACUUUCCUGUUACUCUUCAACUUUAACUUAAUUAUUGAAGAGUGAACUAUUCUCGAGGCUCUUGUUGUGC